AGAACCUAGUGGAGCCACCCUAGAGAAUAAGGAGAGGAGCAACUGGAACUGAGUGUUGGCUCCAAACUUCCACGGCAUGAUAUGCUUGGCCACCCAAUUGUGAUCAGGGCCAUUGUUGUUCCCCUGGGGGCAGGGGGCAGAGGGCAGGCCGCCGCUCGGAGUAAAAAGGGAAGACAGACAGGCAGUCCAAACACCACCAAAUGACAGAGAUGCAGACCAAGACAAAAGGAAAAAACAACAGAAGGGAUUUUUGUCCUUGAGACGUGCUAUGCAAAUUCUUUUCAAUUAGUUUCCUAUUAAUGAUUCCAUCUUGAACAUUUAGAGCUGCUCAACCCAGGCAGCAUCUACGUUUUGAAGUAGUAAGUUCUCCAUUCCUAGCAGAGUCGGAGGAGAAGCUCAGCUGUUAUCCACCAGAAAUUCUAUUAAAAGGAUGAAAGGUUGAACUAGAUGACUUCUCAUUCUGAAGACUGUAAUUCAGCAGAACUGACUAAUCCCUGGCAAAUGAUACCCUUUCUGAGUAUGCAUGUGUCACUGAAAGUCACUCAGACAAACCAGACUAUUUGUAAAUAGGUCUGAUUAUCUGCAAAUUAGUUGAUUGAAGGUUCCCGGGUAUCAAGCAGGGCUUAUUUUAAGAAAUUAAGUUAAUUUAGAUAAUAGCUGUGUUGAAAAGCAACAAGUUCAAAAACAAUUAAAAAGAAUGCAGCUUCCCUUUUAUUUUUUUCAACUCUAUAUUUUCUUUUCAAAUUGCUUCUAAUAGACCAUCUGUUAAGAAAGCCUCUUUUGACCGGGUGCAAUGGCUCACACCUGUAAUCCCAGCACUUUGGGAGGCCGAGGCAGGUGGAUCACCUGAGGUCAUGAGUUCAAGAUAGCCUGAGCAACAUGGUGAAACCCCGUUUCUACUAAAAACACAGAAAUUAGCUGGGCGUCGUGGCACGCGCCUAUAAACCCAGCUACUCUGGAGGCUGAGGCACAAGAAUUGCUUGAACCCGGGAGGCAGAGGUUGCAGUGAGCUGAGAUAGCACCAUUACACUCCAGCCUGAGAGACAGAGCAAGACUCCAUCUCAAAAAUAAAAAAAAGAAAGGCUCUUUCGUAAAUUACUUAAAUAUGCUUAGAAGUCAUUAUUACUUUUUAAGUCAAUAGAAGUCUUUUUAGUUUAUCUAAUAGCAUAUUAAUUCCUAUGCUUUAUGUGUUUGUACCCACACAACACCCAGCCCUGCACCUAACACAUAACAGGUGCUCAAUAGAUGUUCAUUGAAUAAAUUGGUUGCAAAAACCGAGUGUAUACAUUGAACAUUUCUGCAUAUUGGUGAUAAUAAUAGUAUUUUGAACACUUGUUCUAUGCCAGUGACUGGGUCAAAUAAACACUCAACCUCAUAGUAAUAUCUGCGAAGUGAUUGCUACAUUAGCCCCAUUUUACAGAUGAUGCAACUGAGGCUGGUGAGAGGCAGAGCCAGGAUUCAAGGCCAGGCCUGUCCAACUCCCGAGCCGAAGCUCUCAGCGAGGGUAUCAAACUGAAUCUGAAUCCUCUUAGUUUAUCUAUUUUAAAGUGCUGCAUGUGGUAUGUUCAGGAGACGAAAACUCUCUGAUGAGGCACGUGUGGAUGGGAUGGCAGGGCUGAGAAGGCCGGCUCCCCCACGGGGUGUGCACAACCUACCUCCCCAGCUGUUUCUGCUACCGGCUGGGGCCUUCAACUCCACCGCCUCCCCUCCCCCAGGCCCUAAAUCACUCUCAGGCCUUUUGUUCUUCCCCACAGCUGCUCAGCAAAUUCCUUGAUUUGAAAUUACGAUCACAGGUUGGAGUGCUACUUAAAAUAAUUUUGCCAAAUGUUCCAUCUCUCUGUGUUGAUGAAUAUAAUGGAUGACAAUUUAAAGAGCAAAAAAAAAAUCUCUGCAUUUAAUGAGGAAGUGCUGUCAGCAGAAAGGAGAGGAAGCUUCACCCCGACCAUCCGCAGGACCCACAUCCCUCUCAGCGGGAAGGCAGAAUCAUUCAUCUAUUGCUCUCCUUGAAGGGCAGCUCCAGACACUCACGUGGACACAAGUAGGAAAAGCACAGAGUGUGUCAUCACACUGUGUACCUCAUACAGGUGACGUCCUGGAGAAACCUCUGGAAAAACAGAAAUUUUAUGACCCACAAUUAAAAUGAUUUAAGUAAUAAAUAACCCUGAUAGCUUGCCCCA
RNAcentral lists this long non-coding RNA (2177 nucleotides) under Homo sapiens (human). RNAcentral's name for it is "HSALNT0299199". Lineage: Eukaryota; Metazoa; Chordata; Mammalia; Primates; Hominidae. The record is from RNAcentral.